GAAGCAAUUUUUUACGAUCCCUUCGGGGUGAAGAGUUAUUGACUGAGUGGCGGACGGGUGAGUAACGCGUGGGUAACCUACCUUGUACAGGGGGACAACAGUUGGAAACGACUGCUAAUACCGCAUAAGCGCACAGCAUCGCAUGAUGCAGUGUGAAAAGUUUUUUCGGUACAAGAUGGACCCGCGUCUGAUUAGCUAGUUGGUGAGGUAACGGCUCACCAAGGCGACGAUCAGUAGCCGACCUGAGAGGGUGACCGGCCACAUUGGGACUGAGACACGGCCCAAACUCCUACGGGAGGCAGCAGUGGGGAAUAUUGCACAAUGGGCGCAAGCCUGAUGCAGCGACGCCGCGUGAGCGAAGAAGUAUUUCGGUAUGUAAAGCUCUAUCAGCAGGGAAGAUAAUGACGGUACCUGACUAAGAAGCACCGGCUAAAUACGUGCCAGCAGCCGCGGUAAUACGUAUGGUGCAAGCGUUAUCCGGAUUUACUGGGUGUAAAGGGAGCGUAGGCGGUUUUACAAGUCUGAUGUGAAAGCCCGGGGCUCAACUCCGGUAUUGCAUUGGAAACUGUAGAACUAGAGUGUCGGAGGGGUAAGUGGAAUUCCUAGUGUAGCGGUGAAAUGCGUAGAUAUUAGGAGGAACACCAGUGGCGAAGGCGGCUUACUGGACG
RNAcentral lists this ribosomal RNA (668 nucleotides) under Pseudobutyrivibrio sp. P22. RNAcentral's name for it is "bacterial SSU rRNA". It matches the Rfam family "Bacterial small subunit ribosomal RNA", at positions 64 to 735 of the family's 1533-position model. Lineage: Bacteria; Bacillati; Bacillota; Clostridia; Lachnospirales; Lachnospiraceae. The record is from RNAcentral.